Molecule: transfer RNA, 73 nt
Filed under: Canis lupus familiaris (dog)
Lineage: Eukaryota; Metazoa; Chordata; Mammalia; Carnivora; Canidae
Also listed under: 1 other name
Rfam family: tRNA
About the family: Transfer RNA (tRNA) molecules are approximately 80 nucleotides in length. Their secondary structure includes four short double-helical elements and three loops (D, anti-codon, and T loops).
Source: Rfam by way of RNAcentral
GUGUGGCUGGCUCAGCUGGAAGAGCAUAUGACUCUUGAUCUUGAGGUUGUGGGUUUGAGCCUCACAUUACGUA